Molecule: ribosomal RNA, 119 nt
Filed under: Pteropus alecto (black flying fox)
Lineage: Eukaryota; Metazoa; Chordata; Mammalia; Chiroptera; Pteropodidae
Source: RNAcentral
AUCUACAACCAUGCCACCCUGAACGUGCUCCAUCUUGUCUGAUCUUGGAAGCUAAGCAAGGUCGGACCUGGUUAGUACUUGGAUGGGAGACUACCUAGGAAUACCAGGUGCUGUAGGCA